UGCGUAAACUUUUAUGGGUCAGAUAACGCAAAAAGUGAACAUACCUGUCUCUCAGAAAUCUGAUAUGACAGUAAUACAGUAAAAACAUUUUUGAUAUCAGUGUCCAAAAUACGUUUAGGGGCACAUGAAGCAUCUCUUGAUUAAAAUUUGCUUUUGACUAGUGUGAUGUAACUUUUGCCAUCGAGUGGAACAGCAUUCUCCAAAGGCCCCCCCCCCCUACACCGCUAUCAAACCACGCCCCUGACUUGAGAAAGACCGCUGUUAGAUUAACUGCUUACGUUAUAUGUAUCGUCUUUUUUUUUUUUGGUCUCAAUUAGAUGAAAUUGGAGAACACACACGGCACCGGUUGAGGAUGACUGCAUUGAAAGGUGGCUUGAAUCAGGUAAGUCCUCACUGAGGUCUCGAGCUGCUGUAACCCGUCCACUUUAUGUCCUCGCAGGUGAAUCUGGCGAACUCCGGGGGGGGGGGGGGUUGUUGAACCAACGCGCCCCACGCUGAUCUUCAGUGACAAUCCCAUCCCAGCCUGCCUCCCCCCCCCUGAGGAACCACAAGACACUUGAGCUAUGCGAGUGAGAGGAAGUCGCAACAGUUUGAAGAGCGACCGGCGGGCUCCAUUUUCACUCUGACAGGCGGAGCGGAGCGGAGCGGCGUUUUUUUUUUUUUUUUUUUUUUUUUUUUACGCACAGCCCGCUGCACCGCGGGCCAUUGGAGGAACACUUCGCUGGUGUUUGCUUCACAGCGUGCGCGACAUUCUCACGGAGCAGCACAAGACACUCAGCAUCGGAUACUUACUUACCUGGAAGAAGCCUUUUUAAAUCCCGGUUUAAAGUCAUCUGGCGGCCGGAUUGGUGAAGUGCGUAAAAGAAUUACGCACGGGAUUUUUCACUUUUUUGCAAGCUUUUUUUUUUUUGUUUCCAGUUUCCAACAUUGACUUUGAAGAGCGGCCUCAUUAAAGACGAAGACUGAAAGUUUCGCCUAUGUUAUGAGACUUUCCCCGUCCACGCUGACUUGGAGGCAGGACUGAACAGGGGGGGCGAGAUUGCGCAAGGCUUUGAGUGGCGGGGGGGAGGCCAAGGCAGGAGACCGGCCUCUGAAAGCGGUCCUGGGGUGGGAGGACGAGAAGGAGGAGGAGGAGGAGGUGCCUCCAGCCGUCCCCUGCACGCAGAUGGAGUCCACACUUUUGCUAAGGAGAAGACAGUCAGUUCGGAGCUCCUGCACGCUGUGACGACCAGGCGCGAAAACAUGACACGGUGCCGUGGAUGGAGAAGUCCAUCGAUGACCCCCGCGGCAGCGCACGCCCUUCCCGACCCGCCGCGCGCGCGCCCCCGCAUGUCACCCGGCGGGACUCGAUGGAGGAAUCGGAGGAAGCAGAGACCAGAGACGACGACCUCUGUGAUGACGGCGGAGGUGCCGCUGUGGGCGCUCCUGUUUC
This is a long non-coding RNA of Hippocampus comes (tiger tail seahorse), 1432 nucleotides long. RefSeq lists it as uncharacterized. NCBI's taxonomy places the organism in Eukaryota, Metazoa, Chordata, Actinopteri, Syngnathiformes, Syngnathidae. The record is from RefSeq and is a predicted model, not a curated record. The transcript is spliced from 4 exons.